RNAcentral lists this microRNA precursor (207 nucleotides) under Oryza sativa Japonica Group (Japanese rice). RNAcentral describes it as "MIR812 microRNA precursor family". It matches the Rfam family "MIR812 microRNA precursor family". The record is from Rfam by way of RNAcentral. Lineage: Eukaryota; Viridiplantae; Streptophyta; Magnoliopsida; Poales; Poaceae.
AAUAAGUGCAGCCGUGAAUAUCUGUGCCCAACGUUUGACCGUCCGUCUUAUUUAAAAAAUUGUGAAAAAUUUGAAAAUAUUUAGUCACACAUAAAGUACUAUUCAUGUUUUAUCAUCUAAUAGCAAUAAAAAUACUAAUCAUAAAAAAAUUUCAAAUAAAACGAACAGUCAAACGUUGAACGUAAAUAGUGCAAAACUGCACUUAUU